AAUAUAAUUGAUAUUUAGACAAAGUCAAAAUUGAUCUCAUGCGAUUUUCUUAAUAUGUUAGGCACGAAAGGGUUAAACUUCAUAUAUCAAUUCAGAAAAAAAACAUGUUUCAAAAGGGAUCAAGCACUUUUUUAUGCAUUAAGGGAAAAAACACAUCAUGCAAAGGAAUGUAGGACCCACCCCCCCACCCCCCCCCCACCCCAAACACUGGAGUAAUUACACAAUGAGUUAUACAAUUACAACCAGGUUGUAACGCCAUGGAAGGAAGGAUAAUAACUAGUAUAAAUAAAUCGGAGUGAAACAAUCCCGGAACACGAGACAAAAGGCUUUCUGUGUGUUUCCUUUUCGCGCCGGAGCCGGUUGGAGAGGAGCGAGCAGCCGGCUGCUCCCCACACGCGGCAUGUCUCCAUGCGUUGGCCGCUCUCGUUCUUUCACACCUCUCUGGUGUGAGCAGGCCGGCGCUGCCAUGCUGCCAUCCCCCUCACGCUGCCACCCGCACGUGAUGCCCGCUGUUACCGUGGCAAUUAGCGCAGGGCCCAAAUUAGCCCACUUCGCCCCUGCACAGACUUAGCCUGGUCUCCAUGGCGAGGUCAGAGGCUGUGCUGUGACCCUGCCCAUGCCGGGCAGCUGAGGUAAUGCAAUCGGCCAGAUAGUCACCAUGGCAACCACAGCGUGACCUCACACUCGGGGUCGACCUAAAGGUCAUCGCACAGACAUGAUUUCGCCAUGCAACGUUGUAUCAACAGGACCUUGGCAAUGACAAAUGACUGCCAGUGGAGGAUACCGUGCAUUUCCAUUUGAUACUUCUCUCUCUCUCUCUCUCUCUCUCUCUCUCACACACACAUACACACACACAUCCUGUAGUAUCAUUUUACUAUUCACCUCUAGACCUUUAUUCGCGCAUGUCACAUUUGCAUCUAAAAGCAUUCAUCUAGUUAGAACUCUAGAGCUUCACCUAGCUCGAGAUCUCAUGUUUCAGAUCAAGUGUUGUGGUGUUUUUUUGUUUGUUUGUUUUUUAUUAUACGCCUUUAAUACACCGACUGUACAA
Molecule: long non-coding RNA, 1048 nt
Organism: Ictalurus punctatus (channel catfish)
Lineage: Eukaryota; Metazoa; Chordata; Actinopteri; Siluriformes; Ictaluridae
Source: Ensembl